This 306-nucleotide ribosomal RNA is filed under the name Salmonella enterica subsp. enterica serovar Enteritidis. RNAcentral describes it as "partial 23S ribosomal RNA". It matches the Rfam family "Bacterial large subunit ribosomal RNA", at positions 1398 to 1704 of the family's 2925-position model. Lineage: Bacteria; Pseudomonadati; Pseudomonadota; Gammaproteobacteria; Enterobacterales; Enterobacteriaceae. The record is from RNAcentral.
GAGGCCGAAAGGCGUAGUCGAUGGGAAAUCGGUUAAUAUUCCGAUACUUGUUUAUGAUGCGAUGGAGGGACGGAGAAGGUUAUGCCAGCUUGGCGAUGGUUGUCCAAGUGGAAGGAUGUAGUUAGGUUUAGUAGGCAAAUCCGCUAGACUAUUAAUGAGAUCUGAUAGCAAGCUGUACUUGUACAGCGAAGUGGCAAAUACCCUGCUUCCAGGAAAAGCUUCUAAGCGAUAGUCAUAAAGAAAUCGUACCCUAAACCGACACAGGUGGUCAGGUAGAGAAUACCAAGGCGCUUGAGAGAACUCUGC